GCGGGAGUAGCUCAAUGGUAGAGCCUCGCCCUUCCAAGGCGACAACGCGGGUUCGAUCCCCGUCUCCCGCU
This 71-nucleotide transfer RNA is filed under the name Actinomycetota bacterium. RNAcentral's name for it is "tRNA-Gly". It matches the Rfam family "tRNA". From Rfam's summary of the family: Transfer RNA (tRNA) molecules are approximately 80 nucleotides in length. Lineage: Bacteria; Bacillati; Actinomycetota. The record is from RNAcentral.